This 76-nucleotide transfer RNA is filed under the name Armatimonadetes bacterium Uphvl-Ar1. RNAcentral describes it as "tRNA-Arg". It matches the Rfam family "tRNA". Rfam says of the family: Transfer RNA (tRNA) molecules are approximately 80 nucleotides in length. Their secondary structure includes four short double-helical elements and three loops (D, anti-codon, and T loops). Lineage: Bacteria; Bacillati; Armatimonadota. The record is from RNAcentral.
GGCCCUGUAGCUCAAUGGAUAGAGCAGACCCGUCCUAAGGGUAAGGUUGGCGGUUCGAGUCCGUUCGGGGCCGCCA